This 464-nucleotide ribosomal RNA is filed under the name uncultured Bacteroidales bacterium. Its description in RNAcentral is "bacterial SSU rRNA". It matches the Rfam family "Bacterial small subunit ribosomal RNA", at positions 337 to 798 of the family's 1533-position model. The record is from RNAcentral. Lineage: Bacteria; Pseudomonadati; Bacteroidota; Bacteroidia; Bacteroidales.
UCCUACGGGUGGCUGCAGUGAGGAAUAUUGGUCAAUGGGCGCAAGCCUGAACCAGCCAUCCCGCGUGAAGGAAGAAGGCGCUAUGCGUUGUAAACUUCUUUUCCAGGGGAAUAAAAUUUUGUACGUGUACGGAAUUGAAGGUACCCUGGGAAUAAGCAUCGGCUAACUCCGUGCCAGCAGCCGCGGUAAUACGGAGGAUGCGAGCGUUAUCCGGAUUUAUUGGGUUUAAAGGGUGCGUAGGCGGACCAAUAAGUCAGUGGUGAAAACCUGCAGCUUAACUGUAGAAUUGCCAUUGAUACUGUUGGUCUUGAGUAUGGUCAAGGUAGGCGGAAUGUGUAAUGUAGCGGUGAAAUGCUUAGAUAUUACACAGAACACCGAUUGCGAAGGCAGCUUGCUGGGCCAUUACUGACGCUGAUGCACGAAAGCGUGGGGAUCGAACAGGAUUAGAUACCCGGGUAGUCUAC